GACGAACGCUGGCGGCGUGCCUAACACAUGCAAGUCAACGAGAAAGGGGUAGCAAUAUCCUGAGUAAAGUGGCGCACGGGUGAGUAACACGUAGGUAAUCUGCCAUUAGGACGGGGACAACCACGCGAAAGCGUAGCUAAUACCCGAUGAAUCAGCGAAGCCGCAUGGUUUUGCUGUUAAAUACCGCAAGGUGCCUAAUGAUGAACCUGCGUCCCAUUAGGUAGUUGGGAGGUAACGGCUCACCAAGCCGACGAUGGGUAGCUGGUCUGAGAGGAUGAUCAGCCACACUGGAACUGAGACACGGUCCAGACUCCGUACGGGAGGCAGCAGUGAGGAAUAUUGCGCAAUGGACCGAAAGGCUGACGCAGCGACGCCGCGUGAAGGAU
Molecule: ribosomal RNA, 386 nt
Filed under: uncultured bacterium
Lineage: Bacteria
Description: bacterial SSU rRNA
Rfam family: Bacterial small subunit ribosomal RNA
Source: RNAcentral